CGGUCUCUGAUAAUGCUGCCUCAAUGUAACACCAAUUUUUUCGUCGCAAUUGCUCCUGAGAGGACAAUAAAGCAAUGAGAAAGUUGCAACAAUCGAGUGGUAACAAAGGAGACCGACGGUUCAUUUUGGAUUCAUCAUCGAAUAAUCUAAAUAUAUUAAUGUAAAGGGAAGUUGUGCACAUUUGGUAUAAAUCGAUUGACUCUUUCUCAAAAAUAUCGUUUCCGCGCGCCCGUUCCGCAGAUUAACACGAAUUACACGUUGAUACCGGCAACGUGGGUGCGCGCUCGUGUUUUGUUUUGAUUCGCCGCUUCGUUACGCGCGUCUCCCUCCGCGGCUACGUUCAGGGCAGUCGGAGCGGGCAACGCGCGCGCGUUUCUCUCUCUCUCUCUUUCCUUCUCUCUUGAUCACCUUCACGCGUCGAAGUCGCGCGUGUGGUCGUGCGUGCAAACGUACGAAUCGGGAAUUUAGUAGCGAGCGGCCAGUUAAUUGCGUGUGCGUGUCAAUUACCAUACAUCGCCGCGAUCGAUGGCUCCAUCAAUAUAGACAUGUACGUAUACAUAUCCGCGAAUGACGUGCUUUCACCGCUUAGCUCCGCAGCUCGCCGCCCGUUUCGGAAUUGUCCGGAUUCUGGCUCACCCCUCUCACCCUCGAUCGAUUUGUUUAUUAAUUGAACGCGAAUCUCUCGGCGCGAUAUCUUCCGGUCGAGGAUUUCUCGCUUUUCGCGACGGUUGCGGCGGCAUCGAUGUGAAGUUGUCGUCGGAUGAUCAAAAAGUCCCUACUGUCGGUUCUUUUAAUUGCCACCGCGUGUCCGAGAGUGUGUCUCGUGUCUGUUGUUGAUUUAUUCGGACAAAAAGUGCGCGCACGUUGUGAGGAUUAUAAACGUAUUAGGAGUGAAGUUAGCUUCGAAGGUCCCCGUGAGAUUCGUCCGAUGGAAAACUCCGGCAUUGAAGGUAAGUAGAUUCUUGUAAAAGUUACUCGCCUUCCGAGCGUCUCAAAUUGCGUUUUUGAGAAAAUAAAUGUCUGCAGCCUGUCGAAUUUGAUAUCGCAAUUAUCGUGCCGGUCCGAUAAGAUUUUUUUAUUUGCGUUUGUUUAGUAUAUACUCUAUUUAUAAUGAAUAUAUACUUCAAUAUAUAUUUUACACGUAAAAUGCACAUUAAAAUAUUAACAUCAAAGCGCAAGACUGUAAGAAUUCUAGCUUAAGAUCUGAAUUGCAAAUCGUAAAGUGGACUUAACGAUGCGAGCGAUUAUCUCGGUUAUCGAUAUCCUCUCGUGAUCUAUUCCAGUAAACAUUAGGUGAUGCGUCCCGACAGUUUCGUCAAGUGAACUCCAUGCGACCGUAGUUUCACUUCGUACAAUGGAAUUUCCAUGGAUCACUUUCAGGCGAGUUAGUCAAUACUCUCUCAGUAAUUGUAAUUAAUACUCUCUCGGUAAUUACUCGGCAGCGAUUGCGCCUGCGAUCGCAUCUCCAUGGAUUUGCCACGAUCAUUGAUCGUGCUUGAUCUCUCGAUCAAAGGCGAAAUGAAAGCAUAAUUACCGCUUCUAAUUAAUGUUAUGAUUUGCAUGUUAAGAAUUACUUGAAUUACGAUACUAAACCGAUUUCAGACGCUCUAUAAUUAAUUUGUAUCGGAUUUCAAAAUAACAUUUUUCACUCCUGAAAUAGCGCAAGAAAAAAACGAGACAAAAAUUUUGACCGAAUUUUUAAGCAAUCUUCAAAGUGA
This 1718-nucleotide long non-coding RNA is filed under the name Monomorium pharaonis (pharaoh ant). RNAcentral describes it as "uncharacterized LOC118645649". Lineage: Eukaryota; Metazoa; Arthropoda; Insecta; Hymenoptera; Formicidae. The record is from RNAcentral.